GCCGAUGUAGCUCAGUUGGUAGAGCAACUGAUUCGUAAUCAGUAGGUCGUGCGUUCAAGUCGCAUCAUCGGCA
RNAcentral lists this transfer RNA (73 nucleotides) under Candidatus Galligastranaerophilus gallistercoris. RNAcentral's name for it is "tRNA-Thr". It matches the Rfam family "tRNA". Rfam says of the family: Transfer RNA (tRNA) molecules are approximately 80 nucleotides in length. Their secondary structure includes four short double-helical elements and three loops (D, anti-codon, and T loops). Lineage: Bacteria; Bacillati; Candidatus Melainabacteria; Candidatus Gastranaerophilales; Candidatus Gastranaerophilaceae. The record is from RNAcentral.